Molecule: ribosomal RNA, 1554 nt
Filed under: Staphylococcus aureus
Lineage: Bacteria; Bacillati; Bacillota; Bacilli; Caryophanales; Staphylococcaceae
Also listed under: 1 other name
Description: 16S ribosomal RNA
Rfam family: Bacterial small subunit ribosomal RNA
Source: RNAcentral
UUUAUGGAGAGUUUGAUCCUGGCUCAGGAUAAACGCUGGCGGCGUGCCUAAUACAUGCAAGUCGAGCGAACGGACGAGAAGCUUGCUUCUCUGAUGUUAGCGGCGGACGGGUGAGUAACACGUGGAUAACCUACCUAUAAGACUGGGAUAACUUCGGGAAACCGGAGCUAAUACCGGAUAAUAUUUUGAACCGCAUGGUUCAAAAGUGAAAGACGGUCUUGCUGUCACUUAUAGAUGGAUCCGCGCUGCAUUAGCUAGUUGGUAAGGUAACGGCUUACCAAGGCAACGAUGCAUAGCCGACCUGAGAGGGUGAUCGGCCACACUGGAACUGAGACACGGUCCAGACUCCUACGGGAGGCAGCAGUAGGGAAUCUUCCGCAAUGGGCGAAAGCCUGACGGAGCAACGCCGCGUGAGUGAUGAAGGUCUUCGGAUCGUAAAACUCUGUUAUUAGGGAAGAACAUAUGUGUAAGUAACUGUGCACAUCUUGACGGUACCUAAUCAGAAAGCCACGGCUAACUACGUGCCAGCAGCCGCGGUAAUACGUAGGUGGCAAGCGUUAUCCGGAAUUAUUGGGCGUAAAGCGCGCGUAGGCGGUUUUUUAAGUCUGAUGUGAAAGCCCACGGCUCAACCGUGGAGGGUCAUUGGAAACUGGAAAACUUGAGUGCAGAAGAGGAAAGUGGAAUUCCAUGUGUAGCGGUGAAAUGCGCAGAGAUAUGGAGGAACACCAGUGGCGAAGGCGACUUUCUGGUCUGUAACUGACGCUGAUGUGCGAAAGCGUGGGGAUCAAACAGGAUUAGAUACCCUGGUAGUCCACGCCGUAAACGAUGAGUGCUAAGUGUUAGGGGGUUUCCGCCCCUUAGUGCUGCAGCUAACGCAUUAAGCACUCCGCCUGGGGAGUACGACCGCAAGGUUGAAACUCAAAGGAAUUGACGGGGACCCGCACAAGCGGUGGAGCAUGUGGUUUAAUUCGAAGCAACGCGAAGAACCUUACCAAAUCUUGACAUCCUUUGACAACUCUAGAGAUAGAGCCUUCCCCUUCGGGGGACAAAGUGACAGGUGGUGCAUGGUUGUCGUCAGCUCGUGUCGUGAGAUGUUGGGUUAAGUCCCGCAACGAGCGCAACCCUUAAGCUUAGUUGCCAUCAUUAAGUUGGGCACUCUAAGUUGACUGCCGGUGACAAACCGGAGGAAGGUGGGGAUGACGUCAAAUCAUCAUGCCCCUUAUGAUUUGGGCUACACACGUGCUACAAUGGACAAUACAAAGGGCAGCGAAACCGCGAGGUCAAGCAAAUCCCAUAAAGUUGUUCUCAGUUCGGAUUGUAGUCUGCAACUCGACUACAUGAAGCUGGAAUCGCUAGUAAUCGUAGAUCAGCAUGCUACGGUGAAUACGUUCCCGGGUCUUGUACACACCGCCCGUCACACCACGAGAGUUUGUAACACCCGAAGCCGGUGGAGUAACCUUUUAGGAGCUAGCCGUCGAAGGUGGGACAAAUGAUUGGGGUGAAGUCGUAACAAGGUAGCCGUAUCGGAAGGUGCGGCUGGAUCACCUCCUUUCU